Long non-coding RNA from Mus musculus (house mouse), 1157 nucleotides. RefSeq lists it as uncharacterized. The transcript is spliced from 5 exons. The record is from RefSeq and is marked validated. NCBI's taxonomy places the organism in Eukaryota, Metazoa, Chordata, Mammalia, Rodentia, Muridae.
CUCGCCGCUACCUGGCUCCUUCCAACGCGGCCGCUCGCGGGGUGCGCCGGGGGCUCCGAUGGGAACCGAGCGCGGGGGACCCGGGACCACACAGGUGAGCCCCGCCCGCGGGCUCCCAAUCCACCGAGUUCCCCUAUCCCACGAUCCCGCCCGCCAUCCCCUCCCCCUCGCUCCUCCACCCCAGCUCCGAAGCACUUUCCCAAGCCCGAAGGAGCCCUCGCUGCACCCCGAACCCGUUCUCCGCGUCCUGCUUUCUCCGAAGGGAAAAAAAAAAGGAGAGAAAGAGAGAGAAGCAAGCAGAUGCGGCGCAAAGCGGGGCGCAGGACGGCAAGAUAACUGUGGUUUGUGUGUGUGCUGACAUUAGACUAGCCGGCACAAAUGUCACUUCUGGAAAGCCAGCUCUAUCUAGAAGUGUUCUCCUUAAGAAGAAAGUAACAUGCGUUCAGCAUUUUAAUCAACUCCUGAAGAAAACAGCCACAACUCUGUUUUCCUACCUGAAGGCUCCUGUAAAGCUUGGACUUCAACUUUAAACCGUGUUCCUUCAGCUGAGAUUUGAUGUGUCCUUGGCAUGUGCCCACCCCAGAACUUCUCACGGGUGAGCAGCACUGUGGUACCUCCAGGCCUUGCAGCAGAGACCACUGAGCUUAGAAGAAGCUGAGUCUCCUUGUGUCUUAUCACAGCUGUAAAGAAUACCUCCCACAAACAAUGCAGGUGGCUUAAAACAAAGGACAUAGGCUCUUCUGCAGUUCCGGGGACUAUUGAAGUCUGAAGGCAUACCCUUGGCAACUGGACAGGGUAACCCCGUAUACGGCUUCUAAAGGAAGAGUAAUGAGGACCAGGAGCGUUCCAAAGGAGAUGAGCAGGCUGCCCUCAUAAAUUUCAUGGAAAGGCCAAGGAGGAACUACUUAACAUCUUCUGGCUGACAAGAGCUCACGGUGAUGAGAAUGCUUUUUCUGUGAUCCACUACGUCCUACAAACGUGAGAUUCAGAGCUAGCAAGAGGGCUGACAACCUGAGUUCAAGCCCUGGGACUCACAUGGUGGAAAGAGAGAGCGAACUUCUGGUACCUAUCUUCUGAGAUCCCCCGUGCAUGCUGAGACACAGCCCUCUCCCCUUUCCCCAGAUAAUAAUUGAGAUAUUAAAAAUUUAAAAAAGCAA